UACGAAGGGGGCUAGCGUUGUUCGGAAUUACUGGGCGUAAAGCGCUCGCAGGCGGAUUGAUAAGUCGGGGGUGAAAUCCCGGGGCUCAACCUCGGAAUUGCCUUCGAUACUGUCUAUCUAGAGUCCGGGAGAGGUGAGUGGAAUUCCUAGUGUAGAGGUGAAAUUCGUAGAUAUUAGGAAGAACACCAGUGGCGAAGGCGGCUCACUGGCCCGGAACUGACGCUCAUGAGCGAAAGCGUGGGGAGCAAACAGGAUUAGAUACCCUGGUAGUCCACGCCGUAAACGAUGGAUGCUAGCCGUUGGGAAGCUUGCUUUUCAGUGGCGCAGCUAACGUAUUAAGCAUCCCGCCUGGGGAGUACGGUCGCAAGAUUAAA
This 374-nucleotide ribosomal RNA is filed under the name uncultured bacterium. Its description in RNAcentral is "bacterial SSU rRNA". It matches the Rfam family "Bacterial small subunit ribosomal RNA", at positions 524 to 898 of the family's 1533-position model. The record is from RNAcentral.